AUGUGGUCCUUCUGCCCUUCCUGGGUCCCUCAAACCAACAGCUUCUUAAAUAACGCUGUCUUGAGACUGUUAUUGUCACUAGAGAUCCAAAGCAUAUUUAAACUAUUGCCAUUUCCAGAGUCCUCUUUGUUGUAUCAAACCUUUCUCAUUUCUCACUUUAUAUUUUCUCAAGGAGAUUGGCUUCAAAGUGUUUUCCGUGUUCUUUAUCUAUCUUUGGAUUUUCAUGCUUGCAUUACCUUGGGCAGGACGAUGCCUCCAGUAGGACUCCUUAACCUUCCACUUCACAAGGGUAAUUCCCACAGAUCUUCCAGAUUUAAUAGAGUCAUGAAGUUAAAUUGCAAGCUUGGGCACAACAAUUAUAAAGGGAAGAGUCUGCUGAAGGUGCUUCGUUUCCUACAAAGAAGAAAACUCAUUUGGGGAAGGUAAGAAAAAAUUAAAGCUUGGGAAGGCCUUCAGGUAAAAAAGGUAUACCUGCACAAGUGUCAUGGAAAGGUUCAGUAGUUUGAUA
RNAcentral lists this long non-coding RNA (508 nucleotides) under Vulpes vulpes (red fox). Its description in RNAcentral is "lncRNA (ENSVVUG00000017992.1)". Lineage: Eukaryota; Metazoa; Chordata; Mammalia; Carnivora; Canidae. The record is from RNAcentral.